This 305-nucleotide ribosomal RNA is filed under the name uncultured bacterium. Its description in RNAcentral is "bacterial SSU rRNA". It matches the Rfam family "Bacterial small subunit ribosomal RNA", at positions 334 to 656 of the family's 1533-position model. The record is from RNAcentral.
UUUACCUACGGGGCGCAGCAGUGGGGGAUAUUGCACAAUGGGGGAAACCCUGAUGCAGCGACGCCGCGUGAGUGAAGAAGUAAUUCGUUACGUAAAGCUCUAUCAGCAGGGAAGAAAAUGACGGUACCUGAGUAAGAAGCCCCGGCUAACUACGUGCCAGCAGCCGCGGUAAUACGUAGGGGGCAAGCGUUAUCCGGAUUUACUGGGUGUAAAGGGAGCGGAGACGGUACGCCAAGUCUGAAGUGAAAUGCCGCAGCUUAACUGCGGAACUGCUUUGGAAACGGGCGGGGUGGAGUGCGGGAGGG